RNAcentral lists this ribosomal RNA (146 nucleotides) under Arbusculina moniliformis. RNAcentral describes it as "5.8S ribosomal RNA". It matches the Rfam family "5.8S ribosomal RNA". Rfam says of the family: 5.8S ribosomal RNA (5.8S rRNA) is a component of the large subunit of the eukaryotic ribosome. The record is from RNAcentral. Lineage: Eukaryota; Fungi; Ascomycota; Leotiomycetes; Helotiales; Hyaloscyphaceae.
CAACGGAUCUCUUGGUUCUGGCAUCGAUGAAGAACGCAGCGAAAUGCGAUAAGUAAUGUGAAUUGCAGAAUUUAGUGAAUCAUCGAAUCUUUGAACGCACAUUGCGCCCCUUGGUAUUCCGAGGGGCAUGCCUGUUCGAGCGUCAU